ACGCUGGCGGCAGGCUUAACACAUGCAAGUCGAACGGUAACAGGAGAAAGCUUGCUUUCUUGCUGACGAGUGGCGGACGGGUGAGUAAUGCUUGGGAAUCUGGCUUAUGGAGGGGGAUAACGACGGGAAACUGUCGCUAAUACCGCGUAGAGUCGAGAGACGAAAGUGCGGGACCGCAAGGCCGCAUGCCAUAGGAUGAGCCCAAGUGGGAUUAGGUAGUUGGUGGGGUAAUAGCCUACCAAGCCGACGAUCUCUAGCUGGUCUGAGAGGAUGACCAGCCACACCGGGACUGAGACACGGCCCGGACUCCUACGGGAGGCAGCAGUGGGGAAUAUUGCGCAAUGGGGGCAACCCUGACGCAGCCACGCCGCGUGAAUGAAGAAGGCCUUCGGGUUGUAAAGUUCUUUCGGUAUUGAGGAAGGUUGUUGUGUUAAUAGCACGACAAAUUGACGUUAAAUACAGAAGAAGCACCGGCUAACUCCGUGCCAGCAGCCGCGGUAAUACGGAGGGUGCGAGCGUUAAUCGGAAUAACUGGGCGUAAAGGGCACGCAGGCGGACUUUUAAGUGAGGUGUGAAAUCCCCGGGCUUAACCUGGGAAUUGCAUUUCAGACUGGGAGUCUAGAGUACUUUAGGGAGGGGUAGAAUUCCACGUGUAGCGGUGAAAUGCGUAGAGAUGUGGAGGAAUACCGAAGGCGAAGGCAGCCCCUUGGGAAUGUACUGACGCUCAUGUGCGAAAGCGUGGGGAGCAAACAGGAUUAGAUACCCUGGUAGUCCACGCUGUAAACGCUGUCGAUUUGGGGAUUGGGCUUUAAGCUUGGUGCCCGAAGCUAACGUGAUAAAUCGACCGCCUGGGGAGUACGGCCGCAAGGUUAAAACUCAAAUGAAUUGACGGGGGCCCGCACAAGCGGUGGAGCAUGUGGUU
Molecule: ribosomal RNA, 922 nt
Filed under: uncultured bacterium
Lineage: Bacteria
Description: bacterial SSU rRNA
Rfam family: Bacterial small subunit ribosomal RNA
Source: RNAcentral